GACGAACGCGGGCGGCGUGCUUAAUACAUGCAAGUAGAACGCUGAAGGAGGAGCUUGCUUCUCUGGAUGAGUUGCGAACGGGUGAGUAACGCGUAGGUAACCUGCCUGGUAGCGGGGGAUAACUAUUGGAAACGAUAGCUAAUACCGCAUAAGAGUAGAUGUUGCAUGACAUUUGCUUAAAAGGUGCAAUUGCAUCACUACCAGAUGGACCUGCGUUGUAUUAGCUAGUUGGUGGGGUAACGGCUCACCAAGGCGACGAUACAUAGCCGACCUGAGAGGGUGAUCGGCCACACUGGGACUGAGACACGGCCCAGACUCCUACGGGAGGCAGCAGUAGGGAAUCUUCGGCAAUGGACGGAAGUCUGACCGAGCAACGCCGCGUGAGUGAAGAAGGUUUUCGGAUCGUAAAGCUCUGUUGUAAGAGAAGAACGAGUGUGAGAGUGGAAAGUUCACACUGUGACGGUAUCUUACCAGAAAGGGACGGCUAACUACGUGCCAGCAGCCGCGGUAAUACGUAGGUGGCAAGCGUUAUCCGGAUUUAUUGGGCGUAAAGAGAGUGCAGGCGGUUUUCUAAGUCUGAUGUGAAAGCCUUCGGCUUAACCGGAGAAGUGCAUCGGAAACUGGAUAACUUGAGUGCAGAAGAGGGUAGUGGAACUCCAUGUGUAGCGGUGGAAUGCGUAGAUAUAUGGAAGAACACCAGUGGCGAAGGCGGCUACCUGGUCUGCAACUGACGCUGAGACUCGAAAGCAUGGGUAGCGAACAGG
Molecule: ribosomal RNA, 764 nt
Filed under: uncultured Streptococcus sp.
Lineage: Bacteria; Bacillati; Bacillota; Bacilli; Lactobacillales; Streptococcaceae
Description: bacterial SSU rRNA
Rfam family: Bacterial small subunit ribosomal RNA
Source: RNAcentral